RNAcentral lists this long non-coding RNA (538 nucleotides) under Pan troglodytes (chimpanzee). Its description in RNAcentral is "long non-coding RNA NONPTRT002679". The record is from RNAcentral. Lineage: Eukaryota; Metazoa; Chordata; Mammalia; Primates; Hominidae.
UGUGGCCCCCAGGUUGCACCCACCUUGGCUUAGCUCCACAGCUUUGCAGAGACCAGUGCUUGGGGAUGGUGACGCCUCCCAAGAUGCACCCUUCUCCCCAGCCCCAACUCUCCCUCCCUCCCACCAGCCUGGUACCCAAAGAAGUUGCUCUUCCUAUCCCUGCUGAAAGGUGGCACAACCCUCACUUCCCAUCCAUCUCAUGCCCCCUUUCCAGAAGGCUCCACUGUGUGGGAGUGAAGCAGUGGCGACGGGCAGCAGCGCUUCGUGAUCCUGAUUUCUUCCACCCCAGGCAAGAAGUGCCCACCAUGGGUACCACCACCACCCCCCCGAGGACUAAAUGAGCAGCAGGGAGUGACAAACAGUCAGGUGCACCUAAGUUCCAGCCAAGCUCUACCAUCGACACUCUAUGACUUGGGGACCCCAGGGAAGAUGAUUCAAGCAAUGCUGAGGAGGCUGCACUCUGCCCACCCACUCCAGCCCAAUCAUCCAAGGGAAAUGCCAAAGCUACCCCACAGAGUAGAAGGUUGCCUCCCCGCCA